GUUAACCAAAGCUUCAAGGUAGAAUGCAAGCCAGAAGAAAAAUAUUUGCAGCAUGAGGGAGUGAGCAACUGUAUCAAAUUCUGCUGCUGGGUCAAGUAAGAUGAGGACUAAGAACUGACUACUGGACUCAGCACUCUUCAGGUUUGUUUUCUAUUCCAAAAAUCAUCUCAGUGACCGGCCAGGCUUCCUUUCUUGAUUUCCUAUCUUUCUCCUCCUCUGCCCUCCCUCUCAGGAUGGGCAGGAGAGACUGGGUUUAUGUAGCUCCCUCAAUCAGGCAGUGUUGCUUGCUUCCUUAUACCUUUUCUUUCUGAAAAAUAUCUCUCGGCUCAUUUUGUUAGCCUUAUGUGAUGAGUAAGGGACCUGGAGUUGGAAAACUCAGUGCUUUUCAAGUUUAUACUAGCAACUGCUUCAGAAUGAAACAAUGUCAUAGGAUAGACAGUGAAAGUCAUUUCUGUGGAUUGGUGCUUAAAUAUAUUGUGGAGCCCGGAUGCAUUGAGAGAAAAGGAACACCUCCUCCGCAAAGAGCUGAAGGAAGCCAGUGGGAGACGGAUACCACCUGGCUACGGACUGAGUUAUUGAGCCCAAGGAAGCUGGAAGUUAACGGAGUCAGAUGUGGAUCCAGUGAAGUAUCCAAGACUGAAAUAGCAAAAUAA
Molecule: long non-coding RNA, 653 nt
Filed under: Mustela putorius furo (domestic ferret)
Lineage: Eukaryota; Metazoa; Chordata; Mammalia; Carnivora; Mustelidae
Description: lncRNA (ENSMPUG00000023981.1)
Source: RNAcentral